RNAcentral lists this ribosomal RNA (453 nucleotides) under uncultured bacterium. RNAcentral's name for it is "bacterial SSU rRNA". It matches the Rfam family "Bacterial small subunit ribosomal RNA", at positions 335 to 799 of the family's 1533-position model. The record is from RNAcentral.
ACUCCUACGGGAGGCAGCAGUGGGGAAUCUUGCGCAAUGGGCGAAAGCCUGACGCAGCCAUGCCGCGUGAAUGAUGAAGGUCUUAGGAUUGUAAAAUUCUUUCACCGGGGACGAUAAUGACGGUACCCGGAGAAGAAGCCCCGGCUAACUUCGUGCCAGCAGCCGCGGUAAUACGAAGGGGGCUAGCGUUGCUCGGAAUUACUGGGGCGUAAAGGGAGCGUAGGCGGACAUUUAAGUCAGGGGUGAAAUCCCGGGGGCUCAACCUCGGAAUUGCCUUUUGAUACUGGGGUGUCUUGAGUAUGAGAGAGGUGUGUGGAACUCCGAGUGUAGAGGUGAAAUUCGUAGAUAUUCGGAAGAACACCAGUGGCGAAGGCGACACACUGGCUCAUUACUGACGCUGAGGCUCGAAAAGCGUGGGGAGCAAACAGGAUUAGAUACCCUGGUAGGAUAGCG